This 73-nucleotide transfer RNA is filed under the name Stipellula capensis. RNAcentral describes it as "tRNA-Lys". Lineage: Eukaryota; Viridiplantae; Streptophyta; Magnoliopsida; Poales; Poaceae. RNAcentral also lists the same sequence under 34 other names. The record is from RNAcentral.
AUUCCAGCUUAUUUGAUACCCACUUCAAGUUUCUAUCAAACCAUGUCUUUUUCUUCGAACGUCAAUCUCGUAG